RNAcentral lists this non-coding RNA (127 nucleotides) under Sporolactobacillus inulinus. RNAcentral describes it as "FMN sequence". It matches the Rfam family "FMN riboswitch aptamer (RFN element)". From Rfam's summary of the family: The RFN element is a highly conserved domain that is found frequently in the 5'-untranslated regions of prokaryotic mRNAs that encode for flavin mononucleotide (FMN) biosynthesis and transport proteins. This element is a metabolite-dependent riboswitch that directly binds FMN in the absence of proteins. Lineage: Bacteria; Bacillati; Bacillota; Bacilli; Caryophanales; Sporolactobacillaceae. RNAcentral also lists the same sequence under 1 other name. The record is from Rfam by way of RNAcentral.
GUGUUCCUUCAGGGCAGGGUGGAAUUCCCGACCGGCGGUAAUGGCAAACGUCAGAGUCCGCGAGCCGAAAGGCAGAUCCGGUGCGAAUCCGGAACCGACAGUAAAGUCUGGAUGGAAGAAGGAUGAU